AGAGAAAGAGGGAGGCAGGCUUAACACAUGCAAGUCGAGCGGGCACUUUCGGGUGUCAGCGGCGGACGGGUGAGUAACGCGUGGGAACGUGCCCUCUGGUUCGGAAUAACUCAGGGAAACUUGAGCUAAUACCGGAUACGCCCUUUUGGGGAAAGGCUUGCUGCCGGAGGAUCGGCCCGCGUCUGAUUAGCUAGUUGGUGAGGUAACGGCUCACCAAGGCGACGAUCAGUAGCUGGUCUGAGAGGAUGAUCAGCCACACUGGGCAUGAGACACGGCCCAGGCUCCUGGGGGAGACGGCAGUGGGGAAAAUUGAAAAAGGGGCGGAACCCUGAGCCACCCAGGCCGGGGGAGGGAUGAGGGCUUUGGGGUGGUAAAGCUCUUUUAUCCGGGACGAAAAGGAGGGGACGGGAGGAAGAAGCCCCGGAGAAAUGCGU
Molecule: ribosomal RNA, 434 nt
Filed under: uncultured bacterium
Lineage: Bacteria
Description: partial 16S ribosomal RNA
Rfam family: Bacterial small subunit ribosomal RNA
Source: RNAcentral